GAAGGAAGGGAGAGGAAAGAGUGAAAAAGGAAGGAAGAAGAGUUGUGAAAAAAGAAAGGAAAUUAAAAGAGAAAAAGAGGGUUAUGAUAUGAGGGAGGUUGAGUGUUAUGAGGUUCUUGAGGGUUGAGAUAGCGAAGGAAGGAAGGAAGGAAAAGGAGAGGAAAGAGUAAAAAAGGAAGGAAGAAGAAUUGUGAAAAAAGAAAAGAAAUGAAAAGAGAAAAAGUUAUGAAAUGAGGGAGGAUGAGUAUUAUGAGGUUCUUGAGGGUUGAGAUAGCGAAGGAAGGAAGGAAGGAAAAGGAGAGGAAAGAGUAAAAAAGGAAGGAAAAAGAGUCGUGAAAAAAGAAAAGAAAUGAAAAGAGAAAAAGUUAUGAAAUGAGGGAGGAUGAGUAUUAUGAGGUUCUUGAGGGUUGAGAUAACGAAGGAAGGAAGGAAGGAAAAGGGAGUGAAAGGAGAAAAAGAGAAGGAAGGAAGAAGUUGUGAAAAAAGAAAAGAAAUGAAAAGAGAAAAAGAGUUAUGAAAUGAGGGAGGAUGAGUAUUAUGAGGUUCCUGAUGACUGAGAUAGCGAGGUGAGAGGGAGGUAAGGAGAGAAAGUAGGAGGAGGAAUAAAGGGGAAUAGGAGACAAAUAAAGGAAGAAAAAAAGCGUUUGGGACAUAGGAAACAAUGAAGAAAGAAUGUGUGGAGGGAAGGAACGAUAUAGAGUGGAGAUAUGAAAUGAGAAUAGAGAAAAAAAAACAAUAAAAAAGUAAAGUGAAAAUGAAGAAAAGGAAGUAAGAGAAAACAGAGAGAAAGCAAUGAAAAGAAGGAUGUGUGGAGGAGAGGAACGAUAAAGAGUGGAAAUAGGAAGUGGGAAUAGACAAAAAAGAAGAUAAAGCAAGGUGGAAACGAAGGAAAAAGAGAAGGAAGAAGAGGGAAAACAAAGGAAGCAUUAAUGAAACAGCAUGUGAAGUGGAGGAACGAGAAAGAAGUUAAAAAUAGACAAAAAAAAAAACAAUAAAAGGAACGUAAGAAAAAAAAGAAGAAAAGAAGAAAGAAAAGAAAGAAAAGAGAGAAAACAAAGAAGAAAUAGGAAGUGGAGAAAAGAAAGAAAGAAUAAGAGAAAAAGACAGGAAGGAAGGAAGGAAGAAAGAAAGAAAGAA
Long non-coding RNA from Eriocheir sinensis (Chinese mitten crab), 1137 nucleotides. RefSeq lists it as uncharacterized. NCBI's taxonomy places the organism in Eukaryota, Metazoa, Arthropoda, Malacostraca, Decapoda, Varunidae. The record is from RefSeq and is a predicted model, not a curated record. The transcript is spliced from 2 exons.